CUGUUUCUUGGUAAAAACCGAGACAAUAAAUAUUAAAAUUGUAAACAAAUCGAUCAGUUGUUUGAGUGUCUAUUCUAUUUAUUGAACUAUAUGAUAACAUUCAGUUAAAAUGCGAUUAAUGUUCUAUUUAUCAGUCAUUAACGUUAUUUUCAUCAUAGACAAGAAUAUUUCUGCAAUAACUUUGUGAGUGCUAUUUCCAUAGAUAAUAGAAGAUAGAUAAUUCUUCUAUUAUCUAUGGUUUUACAGGUAGAAACAUGAUAUCGAAAGAAAAGUAUCGAUACUUUCACUUGGUAACGAAUGGAAUGAAAAUAACGAAACGUAACGACCGUAGUAUCGCAACAUCCAUAAUCACGAGGGCUCUUCUGUAAAUUGUUGUCUUUUCGUGAACACUGAUAGUAUGUUUAUGUUGCUGUGAUGUUUCAAACACCGUUUUAAUUUUUUCAUUGUCAAUCAAUCUUGUUGUCCAACAAUAUUUCAUAGCGGCCCUUCUAUAGGUCAGUGACUAAGUGUACCUUUUGGCCAAAAGAAGAGGAACAAUGCCGAAACGUUACACAUGGUAUAGCAGAACUUGCAUCUUAUUCCUUCUACAACCGAUUAUUACAUUUUUUAUUUACUUAAACCACUAAAAUGUCAAAUCUUCAACAUAGUGGCAACUUGAGAAAUGCUCCUGCGAAGAGUGUUCUUGAUGUGGUGAUAUAGAUAUUGGCAAAUAGUGGUGUAUCAAGUCGACUGAAUGAUCCAGUAAUAGCAGUAAUCCAGUAAUAGUAAUUUCUCAUUAUAGAUUGAUAUUAAUGGUAUUAAAGAUGACAUUAAAGAAUUU
This 820-nucleotide long non-coding RNA is filed under the name Sipha flava (yellow sugarcane aphid). Its description in RNAcentral is "uncharacterized LOC112691064, transcript variant X2". The record is from RNAcentral. Lineage: Eukaryota; Metazoa; Arthropoda; Insecta; Hemiptera; Aphididae.